Molecule: microRNA precursor, 207 nt
Filed under: Oryza sativa Indica Group (long-grained rice)
Lineage: Eukaryota; Viridiplantae; Streptophyta; Magnoliopsida; Poales; Poaceae
Description: MIR812 microRNA precursor family
Rfam family: MIR812 microRNA precursor family
Source: Rfam by way of RNAcentral
AAUAGAUGACGCCGUUGACUUUUUCUCACAUGUUUGACCAUUCGUCGUUUUCGUUGUGUUUAUGUGAUUAUUAUUAUUGUUGUUAUGAAUUGUUUUGUAUCACUCAUAGUACUUUAAGCGUGAUUUAUAAUCUUAUACAUUUGCAUAAAAUUUUUGAAUAGGACGAAUGGUCAAACAUGUGAGAAAAAGUCAACGGCAUCAUCUAUU